GACGAACGCUGGCGGCGUGCCUAAUACAUGCAAGUCGAACGAAGCUGUUUUAACUGGUGCUUGCACCGACUUAAACAACUGAGUGGCGAACGGGUGAGUAACACGUGGGUAACCUGCCCCAAAGCGGGGGAUAACAUUUGGAAACAGAUGCUAAUACCGCAUAACCACAGAAACCACAUGGUUUCUGUGUCAAAGAUGGUUUCGGCUAUCACUUUGGGAUGGACCCGCGGCGUAUUAGCUAGUUGGUAAGGUAAUGGCUUACCAAGGCAAUGAUACGUAGACGAUCUGAGAGGUUGAUCGGCCACAUUGGGACUGAGACACGGCCCAAACUCCUACGGGAGGCAGCAGUAGGGAAUCUUCCACAAUGUACGAAAGUCUGAUGGAGCAACGCCGCGUGAGUGAAGAAGGUUUUCGGAUCGUAAAACUCUGUUGUCAGAGAAGAACGUGUGCGAGAGUAACUGCUCGUGCAGUGACGGUAUCUGGCCAGAAAGCCACGGCUAACUACGUGCCAGCAGCCGCCGUAA
Molecule: ribosomal RNA, 524 nt
Filed under: uncultured bacterium
Lineage: Bacteria
Description: partial 16S ribosomal RNA
Rfam family: Bacterial small subunit ribosomal RNA
Source: RNAcentral